This 524-nucleotide ribosomal RNA is filed under the name uncultured bacterium. RNAcentral describes it as "partial 16S ribosomal RNA". It matches the Rfam family "Bacterial small subunit ribosomal RNA", at positions 28 to 523 of the family's 1533-position model. The record is from RNAcentral.
GACGAACGCUGGCGGCGUGCCUAAUACAUGCAAGUCGAGCGCAGGAAACUGACGGAACUCUUCGGAGGGAAGGCAGUGGAAUGAGCGGCGGACGGGUAAGUAACACGUAAGGAACCUGCCUCAAGGAUUGGGAUAACUCAGAGAAAUCGGAGCUAAUACCGGAUAGUUCAUCGGACCGCAUGGUCCGUUGAUGAAAGGCGCUCCGGCGUCACCUUGAGAUGGCCUUGCGGUGCAUUAGCUAGUUGGUGGGGUAACGGCCCACCAAGGAGACAAUGCAUAGCCGACCUGAGAGGGUGAUCGGCCACACUGGGACGGAGACACGGCCCAGACUCCUACGGGAGGCAGCAGUAGGGAAUCUUCCACAAUGGACGAAAGUCUGAUGGAGCAACGCCGCGUGAGUGAUGAAGGUUUUCGGAUCGUAAAACUCUGUUGUAAGGGAAGAACACGUACGAGAGGGAAUGCUCGUACCUUGACGGUACCUUACGAGAAAGCCACGGCUAACUACGUGCCAGCCGCCGCCGUAA